CAGUCGCCGCGGUAAUACGUAGGGUGCAAGCGUUAAUCGGAAUUACUGGGCGUAAAGCGUGCGCAGGCGGUUAUGUAAGACAGGUGUGAAAUCCCCGGGCUUAACCUGGGAACUGCGCUUGUGACUGCACAGCUAGAGUAUGGCAGAGGGGGGUGGAAUUCCACGUGUAGCAGUGAAAUGCGUAAAGAUGUGGAGGAACACCGAUGGCGAAGGCAGCCCCCUGGGCCAAUACUGACGCUCAUGCACGAAAGCGUGGGGAGCAAACAGGAUUAGAGACCCCUGUAGUCCCUGUCUCUUAUAC
This 301-nucleotide ribosomal RNA is filed under the name uncultured bacterium. Its description in RNAcentral is "partial 16S ribosomal RNA". It matches the Rfam family "Bacterial small subunit ribosomal RNA", at positions 509 to 807 of the family's 1533-position model. The record is from RNAcentral.